This 401-nucleotide ribosomal RNA is filed under the name uncultured bacterium. RNAcentral's name for it is "bacterial SSU rRNA". It matches the Rfam family "Bacterial small subunit ribosomal RNA", at positions 355 to 773 of the family's 1533-position model. The record is from RNAcentral.
UGGGGAAUUUUGCGCAAUGGGGAAACCCUGACGCAGCAACGCCGCGUGAGCGAUGAAGCCCUUCGGGGUGUAAAGCUCUUUCGGCAGGGACGAUUAUGACGGUACCUGCAGAAGCAGCUGCGGCUAACUACGUGCCAGCAGCCGCGGUAAUACGUAGGCAGCAAGCGUUGUUCGGAAUUACUGGGCGUAAAGGGUGUGUAGGCGGUUUGGUAAGUCUGGUGUGAAAUCUCCCGGCUCAACUGGGAGGGUGCGCCGGAAACUGCCGAGCUUGGAGUGCGGGAGAGGAGAGUGGAAUUCCUGGUGUAGCGGUGAAAUGCGUAGAUAUCAGGAGGAACACCGGUGGUGUAGACGGCUCUCUGGACCGUAACUGACGCUGAGACACGAAAGCGUGGGGAGCAAAC